Long non-coding RNA from Monodelphis domestica (gray short-tailed opossum), 1598 nucleotides. NCBI's taxonomy places the organism in Eukaryota, Metazoa, Chordata, Mammalia, Didelphimorphia, Didelphidae. The record is from Ensembl.
AGUACAUUCUCUACGACAAUGGCAAAUAUCCCUGACAGCUUGUUCGCCUAUGUAAAAUGAAGACUAACUACAUGUUCUCCGAGGUCCCUUCCAGAUCCUAUGCACAAAGCAUAAAGAUAAGGUGAGAAUUUGGUGCAAUUACAAAGCAUUCUGGGACGUGAGCAAGGACUUCUGGGGACUGGAGUCCUGGAUUCAAGUCUCCAUUUUUAUAAUAUUCUUGUGUGAAGUACAGUGAUAAAAGGUAAUGUUGACAAAGUUGUGUGAAAGGUACAGUAAUGAAUUCUAAAGCAGUUCAGUGGAGGGAAAGUAGGUCAGAGUUGGUGGAUGGGUGGCAAUAAGGGAAACCUUCAUGAAGUUGGUGACAUAUGAUCUGAUCCUUGAAGGAAGGGUAAUAGUGUGACAGGUGAUGAUUGAAACCAGAAGGGGAGAAAGUAUUUUAGGAAGAAAGAACAACAUAAAUAAAAUGAAAGAAAUGGGAAAACAUUAUAGGUUGGAGGAGCACUAGGUUGCCAGAUGCAUAGGGGUACAUGUAGGGAAGCAGUGGGAAUUUGGGCUGGAAUGACAGGGUAGCACCAGAUUAUAAAGGGCCAUGACUAUCAAGCUAAGGACUUUAGUCCUUAUUUGUUAGUCAAUGUGAGGCUAUUCCCUCUGCUUUGGUAGAGGGAGGGGAGGACUUGGAAAUGUUCCCUCUAUGAAUCAAAGAGGGAAGGAAUUCUGGGACUCUAAUCAAACCCUCAGGGCUCAGGAGAGUUGAGUUGUUACCUCGAAUUUAUUCUUCCCCUUGGUAAAUAAGUUAGAUUUCAGGCGAACAGAUGCUCCCGGCUCUGUGUUGAUGCAUUCAAACUAAGUAAUUGUCAAAUCUCAGCAACAGAUGAAGUCAUUAAAAAUCAGCUCCCCUGCGUCCUUAAAAGGAACCCAGAGUUGGGAAUGAAUUCCAGUCCUCUGCUAGGUUGCUGUUUCUCCAGGCAUAGAUAGGCCUUGUUUUCUCUUAUGGAAUGAGGAUGUUUAUAUCAAACAGUUUUAGAUUUUUCCCUUUGGCCUUUCAUUUACAGAACUCUAUAUAUCCUCUGGUACCAGGACUACAUCAAGGACGAGGAGGAGCUAAACAGAUAAAUGUCACUGGAUUAACAGAUGGGAAGCAAAGCAGAAUUUUGAAAUCUCCCUGCUGUUGUUAUAGUCAUCUCACCCUGGAGUACAGAGGAGGAGGAAGGAGUAUGUCUGAGCUCAGAAGUUCCUUUGAAAAAGAGGGCACAUUUGUCUACAAACCAAAUGGCUUCAAUGUAGGGGAUGGUGUUUCCCAUUUCUGCUCACAAGAAUGAGAACUGGAGGCUGAUGGGAAGGAGAGACCCCUAUGAAUAGGAGAAGGGUCUGGGACUGAAGCUGGAGAUCAUUAUUUCUUUAUAACCAAAUAUCUCAGGAGUGCCUGGUAAAAGAAUUAAAAAUAUGAAGGAAAUAGAUAUUUUUUCCAUUUCUGACUAACUCUCAAAAAACCCCCAACAAACCUUAGAAGAGAAAUUAUGUGCCAGAUGUGGAACAAUCACAGUAAAUGCCACAGGACUGAAAAUAAAGAGAAAGCCAACAAAAUAGAAGCCUAAUGA